UGGGGAAUAUUGCGCAAUGGGGGAAACCCUGACGCAGCGACGCCGUGUGAGGGAAGAAGGCCUUCGGGUCGUAAACCCCUGUCGGGAGGGAAGAACCGCCGGUUUCCGAACAGGGAGCCGGUCUGACGGUACCUCCGAAGGAAGCGCCGGCUAACUCCGUGCCAGCAGCCGCGGUAAUACGGAGGGCGCGAGCGUUAAUCGGAAUCACUGGGCGUAAAGCGCGCGUAGGUGGCUUGAUAAGUCGGGCGUGAAAGCCCUCGGCCCAACCGAGGAACUGCGUUCGAUACUGUUAGGCUUGAGUACUGGAGAGGGUGGCGGAAUUCCGGGUGUAGGAGUGAAAUCCGUAGAUAUCCGGAGGAACACCGGUGGCGAAGGCGGCCACCUGGACAGGUACUGACGCUGAGGGGCGAAAGCGUGGGGAGCAAACAG
RNAcentral lists this ribosomal RNA (429 nucleotides) under uncultured bacterium. Its description in RNAcentral is "bacterial SSU rRNA". It matches the Rfam family "Bacterial small subunit ribosomal RNA", at positions 355 to 775 of the family's 1533-position model. The record is from RNAcentral.